CCCAAGAGAUCGGGAUAACACCUGGAAACAGAUGCUAAUACCGGAUAACAACAGAUGAUGCCUAUCAACUGUUUAAAAGAUGGUUCUGCUAUCACUCUUGGAUUGACCUGCGGUGCAUUAGCUAGUUGGUAGGGUAACGGCCUACCAAGGCGAUGAUGCAUAGCCGAGUUGAGAGACUGAUCGGCCACAUUGGGACUGAGACACGGCCCAAACUCCUACGGGAGGCAGCAGCG
This 233-nucleotide ribosomal RNA is filed under the name uncultured Lactobacillus sp. RNAcentral describes it as "partial 16S ribosomal RNA". It matches the Rfam family "Bacterial small subunit ribosomal RNA", at positions 129 to 356 of the family's 1533-position model. The record is from RNAcentral. Lineage: Bacteria; Bacillati; Bacillota; Bacilli; Lactobacillales; Lactobacillaceae.